This 420-nucleotide ribosomal RNA is filed under the name uncultured Bacteroidota bacterium. Its description in RNAcentral is "bacterial SSU rRNA". It matches the Rfam family "Bacterial small subunit ribosomal RNA", at positions 356 to 774 of the family's 1533-position model. The record is from RNAcentral. Lineage: Bacteria; Pseudomonadati; Bacteroidota.
AGGGAAUAUUGGUCAAUGGAUGGAAGUCUGAACCAGCCAUGCCGCGUGCAGGAAGAAGGCCUUCUGGGUUGUAAACUGCUUUUGCCAGGGGAUAAAAUACCCAUGCGUGGGGAAUUGCAAGUACCUGGUGAAUAAGCCACGGCUAACUACGUGCCAGCAGCCGCGGUAAUACGUAGGUGGCGAGCGUUGUCCGGAUUUAUUGGGUUUAAAGGGUGCGUAGGCGGCCUAUUAAGUCAGUGCUGAAAUACCCCGGCUCAACCGGGGGGGUGGCAUUGAUACUGAUGGGCUUGAGUACAGAUGAGGUAGGCGGAAUUGACGGUGUAGCGGUGAAAUGCAUAGAUAUCGUCAAGAACACCUAUAGCGAAGGCAGCUUACUAAGCUGUAACUGACGCUGAGGCACGAAAGUGUGGGGAUCAAACA